This 2890-nucleotide ribosomal RNA is filed under the name Neisseria gonorrhoeae MS11. Its description in RNAcentral is "bacterial LSU rRNA". It matches the Rfam family "Bacterial large subunit ribosomal RNA". Lineage: Bacteria; Pseudomonadati; Pseudomonadota; Betaproteobacteria; Neisseriales; Neisseriaceae. The record is from RNAcentral.
UCAAGUGAAUAAGUGCAUCAGGCGGAUGCCUUGGCGAUGAUAGGCGACGAAGGACGUGUAAGCCUGCGAAAAGCGCGGGGGAGCUGGCAAUAAAGCUAUGAUUCCGCGAUGUCCGAAUGGGGAAACCCACUGCAUUCUGUGCAGUAUCCUAAGUUGAAUACAUAGGCUUAGAGAAGCGAACCCGGAGAACUGAACCAUCUAAGUACCCGGAGGAAAAGAAAUCAACCGAGAUUCCGCAAGUAGUGGCGAGCGAACGCGGAGGAGCCUGUACGUAAUAACUGUCGAGAUAGAAGAACAAGCUGGGAAGCUUGACCAUAGCGGGUGACAGUCCCGUAUUCGAAAUCUCAACAGCGGUACUAAGCGUACGAAAAGUAGGGCGGGACACGUGAAAUCCUGUCUGAAUAUGGGGGGACCAUCCUCCAAGGCUAAAUACUCAUCAUCGACCGAUAGUGAACCAGUACCGUGAGGGAAAGGCGAAAAGAACCCCGGGAGGGGAGUGAAACAGAACCUGAAACCUGAUGCAUACAAACAGUGGGAGCGCCCUAGUGGUGUGACUGCGUACCUUUUGUAUAAUGGGUCAACGACUUACAUUCAGUAGCGAGCUUAACCGGAUAGGGGAGGCGUAGGGAAACCGAGUCUUAAUAGGGCGAUGAGUUGCUGGGUGCAGACCCGAAACCGAGUGAUCUAUCCAUGGCCAGGUUGAAGGUGCCGUAACAGGUACUGGAGGACCGAACCCACGCAUGUUGCAAAAUGCGGGGAUGAGCUGUGGGUAGGGGUGAAAGGCUAAACAAACUCGGAGAUAGCUGGUUCUCCCCGAAAACUAUUUAGGUAGUGCCUCGAGCAAGACACUGAUGGGGGUAAAGCACUGUUAUGGCUAGGGGGUUAUUGCAACUUACCAACCCAUGGCAAACUCAGAAUACCAUCAAGUGGUUCCUCGGGAGACAGACAGCGGGUGCUAACGUCCGUUGUCAAGAGGGAAACAACCCAGACCGCCGGCUAAGGUCCCAAAUGAUAGAUUAAGUGGUAAACGAAGUGGGAAGGCACAGACAGCCAGGAUGUUGGCUUAGAAGCAGCCAUCAUUUAAAGAAAGCGUAAUAGCUCACUGGUCGAGUCGUCCUGCGCGGAAGAUGUAACGGGGCUCAAAUCUAUAACCGAAGCUGCGGAUGCCGGUUUACCGGCAUGGUAGGGGAGCGUUCUGUAGGCUGAUGAAGGUGCAUUGUAAAGUGUGCUGGAGGUAUCAGAAGUGCGAAUGUUGACAUGAGUAGCGAUAAAGCGGGUGAAAAGCCCGCUCGCCGAAAGCCCAAGGUUUCCUACGCAACGUUCAUCGGCGUAGGGUGAGUCGGCCCCUAAGGCGAGGCAGAAAUGCGUAGUCGAUGGGAAACAGGUUAAUAUUCCUGUACUUGAUUCAAAUGCGAUGUGGGGACGGAGAAGGUUAGGUUGGCAAGCUGUUGGAAUAGCUUGUUUAAGCCGGUAGGUGGAAGACUUAGGCAAAUCCGGGUUUUCUUAACACCGAGAAGUGAUGACGAGUGUCUACGGACACGAAGCAACCGAUACCACGCUUCCAGGAAAAGCCACUAAGCUUCAGUUUGAAUCGAACCGUACCGCAAACCGACACAGGUGGGUAGGAUGAGAAUUCUAAGGCGCUUGAGAGAACUCGGGAGAAGGAACUCGGCAAAUUGAUACCGUAACUUCGGGAGAAGGUAUGCCCUCUAAGGUUAAGGACUUGCUCCGUAAGCCCCGGAGGGUCGCAGAGAAUAGGUGGCUGCGACUGUUUAUUAAAAACACAGCACUCUGCCAACACGAAAGUGGACGUAUAGGGUGUGACGCCUGCCCGGUGCCGGAAGGUUAAUUGAAGAUGUGCAAGCAUCGGAUCGAAGCCCCGGUAAACGGCGGCCGUAACUAUAACGGUCCUAAGGUAGCGAAAUUCCUUGUCGGGUAAGUUCCGACCCGCACGAAUGGCGUAACGAUGGCCACACUGUCUCCUCCCGAGACUCAGCGAAGUUGAAGUGGUUGUGAAGAUGCAAUCUACCCGCUGCUAGACGGAAAGACCCCGUGAACCUUUACUGUAGCUUUGCAUUGGACUUUGAAGUCACUUGUGUAGGAUAGGUGGGAGGCUUGGAAGCAGAGACGCCAGUCUCUGUGGAGUCGUCCUUGAAAUACCACCCUGGUGUCUUUGAGGUUCUAACCCAGACCCGUCAUCCGGGUCGGGGACCGUGCAUGGUAGGCAGUUUGACUGGGGCGGUCUCCUCCCAAAGCGUAACGGAGGAGUUCGAAGGUUACCUAGGUCCGGUCGGAAAUCGGACUGAUAGUGCAAUGGCAAAAGGUAGCUUAACUGCGAGACCGACAAGUCGGGCAGGUGCGAAAGCAGGACAUAGUGAUCCGGUGGUUCUGUAUGGAAGGGCCAUCGCUCAACGGAUAAAAGGUACUCCGGGGAUAACAGGCUGAUUCCGCCCAAGAGUUCAUAUCGACGGCGGAGUUUGGCACCUCGAUGUCGGCUCAUCACAUCCUGGGGCUGUAGUCGGUCCCAAGGGUAUGGCUGUUCGCCAUUUAAAGUGGUACGUGAGCUGGGUUUAAAACGUCGUGAGACAGUUUGGUCCCUAUCUGCAGUGGGCGUUGGAAGUUUGACGGGGGCUGCUCCUAGUACGAGAGGACCGGAGUGGACGAACCUCUGGUGUACCGGUUGUAACGCCAGUUGCAUAGCCGGGUAGCUAAGUUCGGAAGAGAUAAGCGCUGAAAGCAUCUAAGCGCGAAACUCGCCUGAAGAUGAGACUUCCCUUGCGGUUUAACCGCACUAAAGGGUCGUUCGAGACCAGGACGUUGAUAGGUGGGGUGUGGAAGCGCGGUAACGCGUGAAGCUAACCCAUACUAAUUGCCCGUGAGGCUUGACUCU